RNAcentral lists this unclassified non-coding RNA (1256 nucleotides) under Bombus terrestris (buff-tailed bumblebee). Its description in RNAcentral is "misc RNA ENSBTSG00005032066.1". The record is from RNAcentral. Lineage: Eukaryota; Metazoa; Arthropoda; Insecta; Hymenoptera; Apidae.
AACGAAAAAGUAUUCCGUCCACAGCGAUCGUCAGAGCUAGACGCGCGCCGUCCGUACGGACGGCAUAGGCCGCGAGUAUUCAGCACUCAAAGGGUUUUAAUUCCAUUCAUUGUUGAUCUCCCAAGGUGUGAUACAAUCUUGCAAUUUUUGCAGGUUUUACAUUAUCGUUAAUAUUAUAAUUUAGUAGUACGAUGUCAUCACACAUAAAUUAUAUUGUAAUAUCGGAAAAAGGAUAGGAUUAGGAUAAUUUAGAUUUGUAAAAUUCUCCUAAUACUAUUUAUUAAGAUAAAUGAAAAUAACAGAGAUUAAUUGGACAGAGAACGAUAAAUGUUCAACUUGAACUAAAACACAAAAGUCUUAUUCCGCUCAAGUCACUCUUGCAACUCCAUAACGCAACAACUCGAUCUCUCUACAACGCUAGCAAUUCUACAACUCUCGUCUUCGGCAUCUGCACUCGCACGCUCUCGCUUCUCAACUCAUACUGUACGCCUUUUGCAUUCGUUCUCGCCGGCGUCUCAACUAACACUCCUUUAGCAUCUCUUUGUCUUUUCCCGCCCUAUCGCGCACGUGUCCCGAAAACGCCUGUGGCCAGGGUCACGCAGGCCUUUUCCACGAAACUGUUCACUUGAAAGGACCGACGACACAUUGAUGUACCCGACGAUGCCGCGGCUCUCGCGACAUUGUUUACGAUUCGGUCGAUAUCUUAGGCCUUUUGUCCACGAUACUACAAUAUUGACACGUAUAUUGUCAACUUUAUAUUGUGACAAUGUACGAAUGAAAUGAGGUUAAGGAAGGACGUAACUACAGAUACACUUCAAGUCAAUUUGUUUGUUUGUUUGUGCGAUAGUAGAGGACAUAGGCAGGAAAAUAUAGUGUCCGGAUAAUAGAAGCCUUGGAUAGUGGAACGUUCGGAUACUAGAGGCUCCACUAUACGACCAAAUCAAUCGUCGUCGAGUUUACCUGUGCCUGAGUUGAGAUUGCCACUGAAAACUAGAAUAGUGAUCUGCCUUCAUCGCGAUCAUUUUCGCUACAACGUCUCUUGCAUGCACGUCGAUUGUACAGAUUGUCAUGAUCUUCCUUCUAUCGCUUUCGCUCAAAUCUCCACAGAGAAGUACUAUCAACGCGUUUAACUGAUUAAUUUGCUUUCGCUGAUAAUCUUUAAACGCAUUCUCGAAACCUUCCUCUAGUCUCAUAAAGGCCAUGUUUACUUCCGUAGUCCACCAGAUUUGUGUUCCGCAUAGCGCGGGUUGAGCUCG